This 468-nucleotide ribosomal RNA is filed under the name uncultured bacterium. Its description in RNAcentral is "partial 16S ribosomal RNA". It matches the Rfam family "Bacterial small subunit ribosomal RNA", at positions 28 to 507 of the family's 1533-position model. The record is from RNAcentral.
GACGAACGCUGGCGGCGUGCUUAACACAUGCAAGUCGAACGGAAAGGCCCUGCUUUUGUGGUGUGCUCGAGUGGCGAACGGGUGAGUAACACGUGAGUAACCUGCCCUUGACUUUGGGAUAACUUCAGGAAACUUGGGCUAAUACCUGAUAGGAGCUCCUGCUGCAUGGUGGGGGUUGGAAAGUUUCGGCGGUUGGGGAUGGACUCGCGGCUUAUCAGCUUGUUGGUGGGGUAGUGGCUUACCAAGGCUUUGACGGGUAGCCGGCCUGAGAGGGUGACCGGCCACAUUGGGACUGAGAUACGGCCCAGACUCCUACGGGAGGCAGCAGUGGGGAAUAUUGCACAAUGGGCGGAAGACUGAUGCAGCAACGCCGCGUGCGGGAUGACGGCCUUCGGGUUGUAAACCGCUUUCGCCUGUGACGAAGCGUGAGUGACGGUAAUGGGUAAAGAAGCACCGGCUAACUACGUG